AGCGAACGCUGGCGGCAGGCUUAACACAUGCAAGUCGAGCGGGCACUUCGGUGUCAGCGGCAGACGGGUGAGUAACACGUGGGAACGUACCCUUUGGUUCGGAAUAACGCUGGGAAACUAGCGCUAAUACCGGAUACGCCCUUUUGGGGAAAGGCUUGCUGCCGAAGGAUCGGCCCGCGUCUGAUUAGCUAGUUGGUGGGGUAAUGGCCUACCAAGGCGACGAUCAGUAGCUGGUCUGAGAGGAUGAGCAGCCACACUGGGACUGAGACACGGCCCAGACUCCUACGGGAGGCAGCAGUGGGGAAUAUUGGACAAUGGGCGCAAGCCUGAUCCAGCCAUGCCGCGUGAGUGAUGAAGGCCUUAGGGUUGUAAAGCUCUUUUGUCCGGGACGAUAAUGACGGUACCGGAAGAAUAAGCCCCGGCUAACUUCGUG
RNAcentral lists this ribosomal RNA (433 nucleotides) under uncultured bacterium. Its description in RNAcentral is "partial 16S ribosomal RNA". It matches the Rfam family "Bacterial small subunit ribosomal RNA", at positions 29 to 507 of the family's 1533-position model. The record is from RNAcentral.